AUGGCCGACGGCGGCGGCGAGGAGGGGAAUGCGUCGGCGCACAGGGGCUCCUCGCGCAGGCGCGGGGCGGCGCAGGUGGGCCUGGACGCCGACGAGCUCCUCACGCUGAUGCACGGCUCGGAUCCCGUCAAGGUCGAGCUCAACCGGCUCGAGAACGAAGUCAGGGAUAAGGAUAGGGAGCUGGGCGAGGCACAGGCGGAGAUUAAGGCGCUACGCCUGUCGGAGAGGGCGCGGGAGAAGGCCGUCGAAGAGAAUCUAGAACUGAAAAAAACAAAUGAUGAGAAAAAAGCAGCUAUGGCAGCCCAGUUUGCAGCAGAAGCAACGCUGCGUAGAGUACAUGCAGCCCAAAAGGAUGAUGACAUGCCACCUAUUGAAGCCAUUCUUGCACCACUUGAAGCUGAGUUAAAGCUUGCUCGGCAAGAGAUUGCAAAGCUCCAAGAGGACAACAGAGCAUUAGAUCGUUUGACAAAGCAAAAGGAGGCAGCACUGCUAGAAGCAGAAAGGACUGUACAAACUGCAUUAGCAAAAGCUGCUAUGGUUGAUGACAUGCAAAACAAGAACCAAGAUCUGAUGAAGCAGAUUGAGAUCUGCCAGGAAGAGAAUAAGAUAUUGGAUAGGUUGCACCGCCAAAAAGUUGCGGAAGUCGAAAAGCUUAGUCAAACAGUCAGAGAGCUUGAAGAGGCUGUCCUUGCUGGUGGUGCAGCUGCUAAUGCUGUUAGAGAUUACCAGCGGAAAGUCCAGGAAAUGAAUGAAGAAAGAAAAGUUCUUGACCGUGAACUUGCUCGAACAAAAGUUACAGCAAACAGGGUUGCUGUUGUAGUUGCAAAUGAGUGGAAAGAUGGCAAUGACAAAGUAAUGCCUGUUAAACAGUGGCUUGAAGAGCGCAGAUUUCUGCAGGGUGAGAUGCAGCAACUUCGUGACAAACUUGCUAUUGCAGAGCGAACUGCUCGAUCGGAAGCUCAAGUAAAGGAAAAGUAUCAGUGGCGCCUAAAAGUUCUAGAAGAUGGAUUGAGGGGGCCGCCAAGUGGUUCUAGCCGUCCUCCUACAGAAGGAAGGAAUACAAGUAGUGGAUCUUCCCGUCGUCUAUCGCUAGGUGGAGCUGAUAAUCUGUCCAAAGUCUCCCCGGUUGGUGCAUUAAUGAGGAGAUCUCCAUCUUUCAAUUCGAGGCCCUCUCUUUCUACUGGCAGCAGCUUGGUCCUCAAGCACGCAAAAGGAACUUCAAGGUCUUUCGAUGGUGGUACGAGGUCUUUAGACCGGGGAAAGGUCCUUGUGAAUGGACCUCAUUUACUCAAUAGAUCUACAGAUGCUGUUGGGGACUGCGAGACUACUGAUAGCUGGAAGGCUAGUGGAGAAGAGAAAAAUACUGAAACCACAAAUAAUGAUUCAACUGAUAUGGUCUCUGGUGUACUCUAUGACAUGCUGCAGAAGGAGGUGGUUUCAUUGAGAAAGGCAUGCCAUGAGAAAGACCAAAGUCUAAAGGACAAGGAUGAUGCAAUCGAGAUGUUAGCAAAGAAAGUAGACACCUUAACCAAAGCCAUGGAGGUGGAGGCUAAAAAGAUGAGGAGAGAGGUAGCUGCUAUGGAGAAAGAAGUUUCUGCUAUGCGCCUUGAGAAGGAACAAGAGAGCAAGGCCAAGCGUCUUGGUAGUUUGAGAGGACCUGGCACAGUUUCUCAGGCACUUCCCGGAAGAAGUGCACCACGUGGCGGGUUGGCGCGCAACGUCCAAUAA
Molecule: ribosomal RNA, 1728 nt
Filed under: Triticum aestivum (bread wheat)
Lineage: Eukaryota; Viridiplantae; Streptophyta; Magnoliopsida; Poales; Poaceae
Description: partial small subunit ribosomal RNA
Source: RNAcentral